RNAcentral lists this ribosomal RNA (33 nucleotides) under fungal sp. 5GC4-5A. RNAcentral describes it as "partial 25S ribosomal RNA". The record is from RNAcentral. RNAcentral also lists the same sequence under 6 other names. Lineage: Eukaryota; Fungi.
UCUGAUCUCAAAUCAGGUAGGACUACCCGCUGA